This 287-nucleotide unclassified non-coding RNA is filed under the name Sordariomycetes sp. RNAcentral describes it as "partial contains 5.8S ribosomal RNA, internal transcribed spacer 2, and large subunit ribosomal RNA". The stretch from base 1 to 71 matches the Rfam family "5.8S ribosomal RNA", at positions 84 to 154 of the family's 154-position model. Lineage: Eukaryota; Fungi; Ascomycota; Sordariomycetes. The record is from RNAcentral.
GUGAGUCAUCGAAUCUUUGAACGCAUAUUGCGCCCGCCAGCACUCUGGCGGGCAUGCCCGUUCGAGCGUCGUUUCACCGCUCAGGCCCUAGCCGCCUGGCGUCGGGGCGCUGCGGCCCUGCCCGCAGGCCCCUAGAUCUAGCGGCGGACCCGCCGCGGCCCUGAGCGUAGUACCUUAAACCUCGCUCCGGCGGCCGCGGCGCGGCCCAGCCUCGCCACACGACACAAGGUCGACCUCGGAUCGGGCAGGACUACCCGCUGAACUUAAGCAUAUCAAUAAGCGGAGGA